AAAAAGGGCAGGCGACGCGAGAGGGGUCUUUCCGGCGGGCCGCCGUCGGGCUCUGGGAGGUGGGCGAGACUGCGGACGGCCGCGCCGCGGUUGUAGAUAAUGGUGUUUUAGGACAUAAUUCUGGCGUUGGCGGGCAGGCGGGGCGACUUCGACGUAGUGGAAUGAGGUUCCUCCGGCUCCUUCCCCGUCGUGGCGGUGCUCCCUCUGAUGGCGCUGCGGCGCUAGGGAGGUUGGUCUCUCUCUGAUCCAGGCAUCCGGAGAGGUUUGAUCGGUGAAGGGGUGUACAGUACAGGAGUUGGGAUUUGUGGAGAGGGAUUCCCAGAUCCGGUCACCACGGACGACCGGCAGCUGCGGACUGUAUUGGACGAAGUUGUUGGAGCUGCUCCUUCACUCCGGCGUAGGCUGGUGCUGGUGGCAGCUUCAAGGAAGGGGAGCACGGGGUACCCCCGGCUGAUGCACCGAACCCGCCCCUGGUUCCGUCUUUUGCUUCGGGACUUAUAUGCGGCUCACAAAGCCAUGGAUUGGCGAUAGUGCUCCUCAUGACCAUCGUCUCGUGGACGACGACUCUUCCUCUCACCGGCGGGUGCACAGAUCGGCGUGCUUCAGUGAAGAAGGAAGAUGAGCUAGGCUGUAAGUUACUUUGUUUUCUCUGAUGGCGUUGAUUCCCUUCAUCCCUUGCUGUCUCUGGUUCUCAACCUCCAAGCUCCAACGACGUCCCUUUUUUGUGCUGCCAGCAAUGGAGUUUAGCACGGGUUUUUCCUCCAUGAGUAGGCCACCGAGGAUAUCUGCCAGUGGCGACCUGCUCGUCCCGAUGCCUACGGUGCACUGAGGGUAGGUGUCGUCUUUCCCUAUCGUGCUGCAUACGGAAGCCCCAGUCUCGAAAUCUCAGGUCUGUAGGAUGUUGCCGUCGGGGUGAUUUUAGCCUACAUUGUAUUGUAAUCAAUAUGAUAUUUUGUUCAAGCAUUUAUACCAGCAAAUGCACACACUUUUGAUUUAUUUUCCUAAGCUGCUGACUUUUCUUCUGAUAUUACCUGACCAAGUGAAAAUGGAUCUUUCCAUAGCUGUGCAUUUAGUAAAAAUCCCUUUAUUAUGGCAGCAUGUAAAAAUUUAAAGGUUUCCUGAGUGCGGACUGUGGUAUAAAUUCGUGCAAGUUCUGAAACCUGCAAGUACUAACAGGAACAGUAAUUCUGUAGGAUGAAAAAAGAAGAAAAAGAUGAUUCAGUUAUCAAGAGGAUGUCUGAACUCUGAACUUGAAGGACAGGAAAUAAAACAUGAGGAUAAUGGAAGAGAAGAAGAAGCAGACAUUAGGAUAAUGAAAGAAAGGAGUAGAUAAUGAGGAUGGUACUGAAAGAGAAGACGAGACGUACCUUGGCUAAGUGAAGAUCUAGACCUGAAAUUGCUAAUAAGGGGAAUGAGGUCCCUUUCUCUAUCGGUGCCAUCUUAGCUGCCGUCGAUUAGGUGCAUAUUUAGCGAGGUAAUCUCGUUCUAACAUGUCUCUGAUUUUGAUUUUUCCUGCGGAUUUCAGAAUAUAGAAGGCAGCUUCGCAGAGGGGUCACUGACGAGCAAGAUGAGGCCACUGCGUCUAUUCUUGUGUUCGUUUGUUUCAAAGAGAUCACACUAAUUUCUCUCAGUAUAUGUCUCUGCAGAGAAAUAAGUCCUGGAGCCGCUUCAGUUAAGACUAUUGAUCUAGAAUUGGCCGUAUGUUCAUGAACAAUUUUCUGUUGCUAAAAUAAAUCCUGGAGCAGGCUUCAGUGAGGACUACAGAUCAAGAAGUCUGUAUGUUCAUGAAUAAUUUUCUGUUGCUCAGGCCAGAGUUGUUUCGCAAGUUCAGAAUCCACCACAAGGUUUCAACACUCAACUAUGUAUCCUUAGCUCCUUCAGAUUCAGCAGCAUGAACGUUUUGAUUCAGAAGGAACGUAGUCUUCCCAAUAGCUCAUACUGAUUCUGGUCUUCAUGAGUGGGCGACGGCGGACCAGCAAGUGGGCGGGUGGGGCCAGCGACGACGGCGCACGGCCUGAGUGGUGAGCGACGGCGACCAGGCUAGCAGCGCGAGCAGGGUAGCGCUCUGUUCCUGUUAGGUCCAACCCGAUACAUAAUCAGCUAGCUUCAGGGGCGCUACAGUCCUGUUCGUUGCUUCUAAAAGGAAAAUGAAAAUAAAAAUUAGUAAAAGAGGGAUAAUGGCAUGGUAAUCAAAGUGUCCACGAUCUGGGUGGCAAUUUUGGGGAGCUCGUCUUGAUGGUGGCAUUUUUGCGAAGCCAGAUGUUCAAAGUGGCAAAUAACCGAUUUUCUCCUUUUGGUGAUGGUCGGCAUGCUGCAUCAUAUAAUGAUAGUAUGACAUAUGCACGACAUUGGUAGGUGGCAGGUUUAAUCCAUUGGACUAGGGCCCAAAUAUGAAGUUAGUAGCCAUCGCAAGUUGCCACAUGCGUGUGGGUUGGUUUUUCUUGAUACAGGAUAGAGUGAGCAAUGCGAAAGGUGAGUAGGGAAAACAACAAAUCUUCUCGCUAGGCGAAGUCGGAGAAGAAAAUGUUUGGCUUCGACCAAAGGAUUUAUUGAUUGGAAACCAUAUGAUUGAUCAUGCUUGAUAUGUACUUCCGCUCCUAAAUAUAAGUUCUUUAAGAGAUUCCAAUAUAGACAACAUACAGAGCAAAAUGAGUGAAUCUACAUUUUAAAAUAUGUCUAUGCACAUCCGUAUAUAGUCCAUAUUGAAAUUUCUAAAAAGAGUUGUAUUUAGGAACAGAGGGAGUACAUGUCAACAAUAUAACAUCGCUUCAGUCAAUGUCUCAAUACGUUGUUAUUGUCUAACAUCGCUUUGUCAAUGUCUCAAUACAUUUGUUAUUGUCUAUAACAACAUAUUGCUUCCUGACUAUAACUUAAAU
Molecule: long non-coding RNA, 2876 nt
Filed under: Triticum aestivum (bread wheat)
Lineage: Eukaryota; Viridiplantae; Streptophyta; Magnoliopsida; Poales; Poaceae
Description: long non-coding RNA (TAES_LNC006784)
Source: RNAcentral